GACGAACGCUGGCGGCGUGCUUAACACAUGCAAGUCGAACGGUGAAGCUCCAGCUUGCUGGAGUGGAUCAGUGGCGAACGGGUGAGUAACACGUGAGCAACCUGCCCCUGACUCUGGAAUAAGCGCUGGAAACGGCGUCUAAUACUGGAUACGAGAAGGGUCCGCAUGGGCACUUUCUGUAAAGUUUUUCGGUUGGGGAUGGGCUCGCGGCCUAUCAGCUUGUUGGUGAGGUAGUGGCUCACCAAGGCGACGACGGGUAGCCGGCCUGAGAGGGCGACCGGCCACACUGGGACUGAGACACGGCGCAGACUCCUACGGGAGGCAGCAGUGGGGAAUAUUGCACAAUGGGCGCAAGCCUGAUGCAGAGACGCCGCGUGAGGGAUGACGGCCUUCGGGUUGUAAACCUCUUUCAGCAGGGAAGAAGCGAAAGUGACGGUACCUGCAGAAGAAGCAACGGCUAACUACGUG
Molecule: ribosomal RNA, 468 nt
Filed under: uncultured bacterium
Lineage: Bacteria
Description: partial 16S ribosomal RNA
Rfam family: Bacterial small subunit ribosomal RNA
Source: RNAcentral